Molecule: ribosomal RNA, 457 nt
Filed under: uncultured bacterium
Lineage: Bacteria
Description: bacterial SSU rRNA
Rfam family: Bacterial small subunit ribosomal RNA
Source: RNAcentral
GCUUGCACUAAAUAGAACUAGAUACAAGCGAGCGGCGGACGGGUGAGUAACACGUGGGUAACCGUGCCCAAGAGACUGGGAUAACACCUAGGAACAGAUGCUAAUACCGGAUAACAACACUAGACGCAUGUCUAGAGUUUGAAAGAUGGUUCUGCUAUCACUCUUGGAUGGACCUGCGGUGCAUUAGCUAGUUGGUAAGGUAACGGCUUACCAAGGCAAUGAUGCAUAGCCGAGUUGAGAGACUGAUCGGCCACAUUGGGACUGAGACACGGCCCAAACUCCUACGGGAGGCAGCAGUAGGGAAUCUUCCACAAUGGACGAAAGUCUGAUGGAGCAACGCCGCGUGAGUGAAGAAGGGUUUCGGCUCGUAAAGCUCUGUUGGUAGUGAAGAAAGAUAGAGGUAGUAACUGGCCUUUAUUUGACGGUAAUUACUUAGAAAGUCACGGCUAACUACGUG